UCAGGACGAACGCUGGCGGCGUGCCUAAUACAUGCAAGUCGAACGAACUCUGGUAUUGAUUGGUGCUUGCAUCAUGAUUUACAUUUGAGUGAGUGGCGAACUGGUGAGUAACACGUGGGAAACCUGCCCAGAAGCGGGGGAUAACACCUGGAAACAGAUGCUAAUACCGCAUAACAACUUGGACCGCAUGGUCCGAGUUUGAAAGAUGGCUUCGGCUAUCACUUUUGGAUGGUCCCGCGGCGUAUUAGCUAGAUGGUGNGGUAACGGCUCACCAUGGCAAUGAUACGUAGCCGACCUGAGAGGGUAAUCGGCCACAUUGGGACUGAGACACGGCCCAAACUCCUACGGGAGGCAGCAGUAGGGAAUCUUCCACAAUGGACGAAAGUCUGAUGGAGCAACGCCGCGUGAGUGAAGAAGGGUUUCGGCUCGUAAAACUCUGUUGUUAAAGAAGAACAUAUCUGAGAGUAACUGUUCAGGUAUUGACGGUAUUUAACCAGAAAGCCACGGCUAACUACGUGCCAGCAGCCGCGGUAAUACGUAGGUGGCAAGCGUUGUCCGGAUUUAUUGGGCGUAAAGCGAGCGCAGGCGGUUUUUUAAGUCUGAUGUGAAAGCCUUCGGCUCAACCGAAGAAGUGCAUCGGAAACUGGGAAACUUGAGUGCAGAAGAGGACAGUGGAACUCCAUGUGUAGCGGUGAAAUGCGUAGAUAUAUGGAAGAACACCAGUGGCGAAGGCGGCUGUCUGGUCUGUAACUGACGCUGAGGCUCGAAAGUAUGGGUAGCAAACAGGAUUAGAUACCCUGGUAGUCCAUACCGUAAACGAUGAAUGCUAAGUGUUGGAGGGUUUCCGCCCUUCAGUGCUGCAGCUAACGCAUUAAGCAUUCCGCCUGGGGAGUACGGCCGCAAGGCUGAAACUCAAAGGAAUUGACGGGGGCCCGCACAAGCGGUGGAGCAUGUGGUUUAAUUCGAAGCUACGCGAAGAACCUUACCAGGUCUUGACAUACUAUGCAAAUCUAAGAGAUUAGACGUUCCCUUCGGGGACAUGGAUACAGGUGGUGCAUGGUUGUCGUCAGCUCGUGUCGUGAGAUGUUGGGUUAAGUCCCGCAACGAGCGCAACCCUUAUUAUCAGUUGCCAGCAUUAAGUUGGGCACUCUGGUGAGACUGCCGGUGACAAACCGGAGGAAGGGUGGGGGAUGACGUCAAAUCAUCAUGCCCCUUAUGACCUGGGCUACACACGUGCUACAAUGGAUGGUACAACGAGUUGCGAACUCGCGAGAGUAAGCUAAUCUCUUAAAGCCAUUCUCAGUUCGGAUUGUAGGCUGCAACUCGCCUACAUGAAGUCGGAAUCGCUAGUAAUCGCGGAUCAGCAUGCCGCGGUGAAUACGUUCCCGGGCCUUGUACACACCGCCCGUCACACCAUGAGAGUUUGUAACACCCAAAGUCGGUGGGGUA
This 1449-nucleotide ribosomal RNA is filed under the name Lactiplantibacillus pentosus. RNAcentral describes it as "bacterial SSU rRNA". It matches the Rfam family "Bacterial small subunit ribosomal RNA". Lineage: Bacteria; Bacillati; Bacillota; Bacilli; Lactobacillales; Lactobacillaceae. The record is from RNAcentral.